AGUAAUGGUUGAUGAAGCAUUGGAUGAAAACAGAGUGAGAUUGAGAAGAGAUGAGAACCCAGGUGGAACAUCACUGUGGAUAUUAUGCCUUUCAUUAUCAGCACAACUAGCUUCAUCUUGUCGACAGUAAUUGCGAACACAGUGAGGGCAAUAAUUGUUCUCUCUGCUUGGUUUGCCUAUGCGAUCCAAUACAUCAUUAACUAUGCCAGGUGGUGGUUUAUAUUCAGAUUGUUGUAGCAACCCUGACUGAAUUUUUUGCUCAUCAUGCUGAAGAGGUCCUGAAGAUAUUUUUUCGUCAGCUGGUUGAUCCCAUCGGCUUUUACGCUUCCGAGUUUUCACACCACCAACAAAACAAGGUGCAGAACAGCCCUUGUGGACAGCAGUGUCCACUGAAGUUGUUGCUAGCUUUGACUGCCUGGCACAAUCUAUUGCCUCUGUAGGCCUUACACCCAGAUCAUGCAAAUGAUUCUGUGAAGCUGAAACCCUAUUGCUGAUGGAGCCUCUGUGAAACUCCAUCUUUCCUUCCUCCCUAUCCAUAUAACUAUAUUUUCUGCAAUGUCGAGGAAUCCAUUUGUCUCGGAAAUUUCGUGCAAUUUGAUGAACCUGUUUGUCAUUGUGCUCUGCCAAUGACAAUAUUGAAUCCAUAAAGCUCUCCAUUCCAGGACAAGGAGGACCUCCAUUAAUAUGUUCUGGUGUAAGUAUCUUCAUGAAUGCCAAAUACUCUAAAACCUUCAAAAGUUUUCGGAGAAUUGGUGUCUUUUUGAAGUCCUUUUGGUACUGCUUUAUCAUGUUAUGGAGCAUCUGCAAACCAUUUUUGUUAAUUAUAUCAACCAAAACCACUCGUGAUUUAGUUUUUAGAAGUGCACCAAGAAUCAUUGAAAGAUCUCGAUUGCUCUGAAUUGCUUCACCAUUUCCACUAGCACCAGAAGCAGCAGUAAGAAGCAAAAGCUUCAAAUAACCUUUAGGGGCAUCUUUUCGUUUACUUAUCCC
RNAcentral lists this unclassified non-coding RNA (990 nucleotides) under Hevea brasiliensis (rubber tree). Lineage: Eukaryota; Viridiplantae; Streptophyta; Magnoliopsida; Malpighiales; Euphorbiaceae. The record is from RNAcentral.